UACGAAGGGGGCUAGCGUUGUUCGGAAUUACUGGGCGUAAAGGGCGCGUAGGCUGUGCUGUAAGUCAGGCGUGAAAGCCCCGGGCUCAACCUGGGAAUUGCGCUUGAUACUGCGGCGCUGGAAGGUGGGAGAGGAUGGCGGAAUUCCCAGUGUAGAGGUGAAAUUCGUAGAUAUUGGGAGGAACACCGGUGGCGAAGGCGGCCCCCUGGACCGGUACUGACGCUGAGGCGCGAAAGCGUGGGUAGCAAACGGG
RNAcentral lists this ribosomal RNA (253 nucleotides) under uncultured bacterium. Its description in RNAcentral is "partial 16S ribosomal RNA". It matches the Rfam family "Bacterial small subunit ribosomal RNA", at positions 524 to 776 of the family's 1533-position model. The record is from RNAcentral.